Molecule: unclassified non-coding RNA, 216 nt
Filed under: soil metagenome
Description: partial contains 5.8S ribosomal RNA, internal transcribed spacer 2, and large subunit ribosomal RNA
Source: RNAcentral
AACCAUAGAAACCUGCGGAGUACCUGCGGAGGGAUCAUUACAGAGUGUAACCCCCUGUAAAAUGGGGGUACCUCCCGUCCUUUGCAGGCCCUUUAGGGUCUUUUACACUUUGCUUCGGUGGGGUAACCCACCGGAACACUCUCAAAAAAUUCUGAUUUUAAAAUUGUUCAGUCUGAGAAUUCUGAAAAUAAAAUAAAAACUUUCAACAACGGAUCU